GCUAUGUCUGGCCUGAUUUUACUAGAACUUUGUAUUGUAUUCAUAUAACUAAUAAUUAUUCUGAUCUAUAUUUAAAAUGCAAAUUUCUAUUCUAUAAGUUAAUUGAUAAUAUCCAUGCGGGGAAACAUAUGAAACAAUAACAUGCUCGAUGGAUGAUGAAUUAGGCGUUCAUGCCUGUCAUGCAGAAGUUCUUUCAAUAUAAAAAGGAAGAAACUGAUUAUGUGUUCUUCCUGUUUUAAUUGUAAACAAAGACAGACCUGUAUUCGUGUUCAUGUUCUAGAUGAAUGCAUGCACGCGGUUUCUCGCCUGCUGUAACAAGCAUCACGUAUAACGCCUAUUUAUAGUAUGACGAGGAUCUUAUAAAAGGCCAAAUGAAAUUAGUUCAUUGUUCACACAACGCAUUAUUCAGUCAAAUUUUCCUUUAAACAAAUUAAGCAGAAGAGUGUAAAAUUCAGCUAACCCAGAGGGUAAGUACCGAUUUGUGAUAUGCUAUACCGAUUGCUAAUGCAUGCAUGCAGAAACUUUUUAAAGCCAAUUUAAUAGGAAGAUAUACCACUUAUAAAUACUUCGUUCACUGUAAAAAACUAUAAUUUUGUAUUGAAUAUGUCUUCUUAAAAUACACACGCGUCAACAAGCACAACACCAGAAUACCGUAGUAAAUCUUAGUCACAAUUACUAGGGCGUAGAUAUAUAUGGAGCGUACCGCGUACGUCUUAUUUUGCAAUUUAAUUACCAAUUUGAUUUAAUUUGCUAAGAGUUUACUCGAGCUAGAGGAGUGAUUUUGGUUGCGUUUUUAUAGCAGGAGAAAGUUUAUAAAUAUAAGCGGAAGAUUGGCAGGCACUGCAAAAUCAGCGCAGGUUAACUAAAAAGGAGAGCUAUCUUUAAGAGGGGAAUGUGGAUUCGGUGUAUAGUCGAUUGUCCAUCCUUAUUUUAGCGAAACAAUAUAUUAUUAAAUUUUGAAAUAUAUGAACUAGAUCAAGUAAAAAUGUGUGCGUGCAGACGUUUAGUUUUGAUCAGACGUUUAAUCGAGUACACAGAAUAUGCGUGCAGUGUCGUUUAGCUUCGAUCAUACCUUCGAUCAUAUAGUUUCGAUCAUAGCUUCGAUCAUAGCUUCGAUCAUAGCUUCGAUCAUGGCUUCGAUCAUAGCUUCGAUCAUAGCUUCGAUCAUAGCUUCGAUCAUAGCUUCGAUCAUGGCUUCGAUCAUAGCUUCGAUCAUAGCUUUGAUCAUGGUUUCGAUCGAGUAUCAGUGCUUUGAAAGUGUGCAUUCACAAUUACCUAAGUGCGCAUAAUAAAACCCAAUAUUAUUACACUUUUUGUUACAUAACGCGGCCAAUGUUUGUCACAAAGAAGCGGGUUGAAUUAAUGAGCCGCUGAAGUUAGCACGAAGAAGCGGUAAGUUCAAUGAGAGGCUGAACGCAAAUAAGAUGGUCACAAAUAUGUCACGUGCGACUACGAUUUAUUUCGAUUGGCCAAAAAAUUAGAUUGACCUCGUGGGAGAAUAAGCUUUGCGCGAAAAAACAAGACAGACUUAAUUUAAGACUCUUGCUUUAUUUCGAGGUGUGAGAUUCAUGCACCUGUUGCACAGUAUGAUUGUCGCGAUAAUUUUUUUUCUUUCUAUAUUACGUAAUAGAAUUAUCCACAGUAAUUAGCCUAUACAGUUACCUAAUUAGAUAUCUUUGAUGUUCUGUCUUUUUCUUAGGAAAGUAAUGAGUCACCGAAAAUCAACAAUCACCCUUUUUCUAGCAGUUGGAAUGCUGAUACUGAGCAGUUUGAUUGAUGCGGAUAUGUUUCUGCACAACCCCAGAGGCUCCAACAACCGCCUGAAUGGAAAUACUGCUAAUCGAAAGAAUAAUAAUCGAAUGUUCGAUUCUCAGAACAACGCCAAAGGUGGUUACAAUGUUGGUGAUAAAACUGCUUCAGCAUCGACCAGCGAAGACACGCAAUUUAACAUG
Long non-coding RNA from Dendronephthya gigantea, 1952 nucleotides. RefSeq lists it as uncharacterized. The record is from RefSeq and is a predicted model, not a curated record. The transcript is spliced from 3 exons. NCBI's taxonomy places the organism in Eukaryota, Metazoa, Cnidaria, Anthozoa, Malacalcyonacea, Nephtheidae.